UACAGGUGUACGGAGCACACAAACGUCAAAGACGUCAUAAAAAUGCAAAAUUUUCAUGAAAAAUAGUUUAUGGUAAUCAAAUGUUUUUCUUAUUCAUCACAUUGUGUGCCCUAUAAAAUUCUGCAUACAUUGUUGAUGUCCUGUUUCUGAUUUACAAAACUCAUUUGAUAAUAUUUUCUCUACAGGACCUAUAGACUGUAUGGUGUAGCUAACUGUGAGGUGCGUAAGAUGCAACGUAUUCAAAACAUAUAGGCAAAAGUUGUCCUUAACAAGAUGAAAUUUGACAGUUCUAAACAAGCAUUGUAUCACUAACAUUGGUUGCCGGUGAAAGCAAGAAUUGAGUUUAAGAUACUUUCUUUCAUGUAUAGCUGUCACACUGGCAGAGCACCUCUGUAUUUAACAGAAUUGCUUACAGAGUAUAUUCCUAGUAGACAAGGUUUGAGACCGUCUGAAAAUUCCGAAUGUCGUUAUGUUGUUCCAAACAACAAGUGCAAAACAUUCAAUGAUAGAAGUUUCUGUACUAUCCGUCCAAACCUUUGGAAUGGACUGCCGUUAGAACUACACAAAAGUAAAUCAUUUGACACAUUCAAAAAAAUCUUAAGACACUGUAUUUCAGAGAUUUCGCGGCAUUGUUUUAAUUUUUUUUUGAUAACUGUUGAUUAUGCAAAAAACAGCAGAUGAUAGUUCUUAAAUUUUGUAAAAGGUUUAACAUUUCAACAUUUAUAUUUCCAGGGUUUGUUUAAUUAAACGCACUUGUUGGUAAGGCUCUAUGGGUAGGGUUGUGUGAAAUAUUUCUUUCUUAAAUAGUAUAUGAUGGCACCAUUAACCGGGGGGUUUGAACCUCUAUAUGCAGCUCGUCUGGGCAUACCAUGGGAUGCUUUAAGCACCCGGUAUUCGCAAUAGGGGUAAAAUGACCUCAAGGGGAGGGGUGCAGUCAUGACUGUUUGUUACAAUAAGGCUGUUAUUAUUAUUAUUAUUGUCAUUUUUAAUAUUGUUAUAAUAAUAAUUAUUGUUAUUAUUAUGUACAACGCCACUUAAUAUACCAUUGUAUAAAAAUAGGCGUUUAAUCAAAAUAUUAAGUUUCAGUUUCUGUUUUACUACAAUUAUUUUACAUGAAAAUGCUUCCUGACACUUGUUGUUUUUACUAAAUUAUCGUAAAUAUUUAGAUCCUGUGUAGAUAUUAUCAUAAAGAUAUACUUAAAUUACAUAAGUGGGAACUUGGUGAAAGUACUGACAAUGCAAUUUAAUCUAAUAACAUGUACAACAAUAACCGUCUAUUGCACCCAAACAAGAGGACCACGAUGACCAUGAUAUCAGGGCUCUAAAUCGCUCGUCUGAGUUAUAGAUCCACUACAUGUCAUCGCUGAGCAGAAAUAGGUACAUAUGAGAAUGUCAGGGAUAAAAAAAAGUCACCUGUAGGAAAAAAAGUCAUGGAGAAAAAAAAGUCACUGGAAAAAGUCACAACAGGGGCAGAUGAUCGGGAUAUGUAUCUGUUUAACUUGAACUGACUCCGUGAACAGCACUGAAGUAAGUAAAUAAGUAAGUAGCGAGUGAAUUUUUAGUAAGUAAGGCGUACGGUCCUCUAUCAACAUACAUAGAGCUUGAGAGUUUAUUAUAUUUCAUUCCAUCAGGCUAAGAAGCUCACGAGGACAAUCAUCGCAUGAUAACAAUAUGACGAACUGUGAUAUUAACAAAUAAUAUUCGAAGCUUAAUGAUAAAUGUUCUAAAUACAUACAUACACAUACACUCAUUCAAUCAAAGGCGUAUAUUCAUAACAAAAAUGAUAAUGACUCUUGUGAUAUCAAUUUUUCUUAUAUGUAUGAAAUAUGGGCCAAUCAAAUGAUUGCAUUUGAGAAGGGCAUACAAUGCAACAAUUAUAGACUUAUGUUUUGCAGACUGCGUCCUCGGUCAAUAUCAUUUUUACAGGCCCGUAAAAACACAUAUUGACUUCAACAUAAGUCAAUAACUGUAUAAUUUGUGAGGCAGCAGAGUAUAUGCAUUUAGGUAUUGAAGUAGAGCAUAAAAAGUGUUUGAUUCGUAGAAGACAGCAGAGAACUGAGAUGCAUCUUUAUAAUGUGUUUUUUUUUAACUUGUAUUUUGCAAUUAUUAGUUUUGUCAGCUGGAACACCUCUUUAUCUGCAAAAAAAUCUAUUUCCUAAUUCUGUAAGAAUACGUGUUUGUCUGGUGACAUGAUAGCGUUUUAGAUGUGAUUGGACGGUGAUAUAAACAAAGCUUUUGUCUAUUGUGGAUUUGUAGCUAUAUAGUUCCUUAGUAGCAGUCAGUAAUGACGUCAUUUUAUGAAAAGACUGUAUAACGUAAGUUAUGGUAGCAAAGAAAUAUCGUCAGCAAACAUGUCUGUUGACUCGCUUUUAAAAAGUAGUCAUAAGUCAUUGUUGGAAGAGGCUCGAGUGUAGUGUCAUGUGAUUAGUAACUUCAAAAUGUCUCGUAAAAACAAAUAAUUUGUGUGUUACUGGAUUAGCGCCGUUUUUCCCAACUGAACGGUUGGCACUUAACCUAACAAGAGUUCCUUGAUUCUGUACCAUUACUAACUGUUCUCCGCAAGUUACUACCACCUUCUUCAUAUGAAUCAGAGUUGGAGGACAAAUAAUACAAUUACGUAACAUCUUAUCUUGUUUAUAACAUACGGCGGUCAGUUAGUUUAACCGAUGUUCCUGGCUUUAAGCCGGUUUUCCGCAACCAACCAACAACUUCUCCAUAAAACUUGAGAGGUGGUUGACAAAUGGUCCUGUACGUUUUUCUCGUAAGUUAAUCAUAGCGGGGAGAGGCCUCGCUCAGAAUUAUGAAUCUGAUACUUCCGCAUUGGAAACCAAUAAGUUUUGUGUGUGUGUGUGUGUGUGUGUGUGUGCGUGCGUGCGUGCAUGCGCGCGUGUGGUGUGUGGGUCUGGUUGUUAAGGUGGCAGAAGCUCAAUCUGGAGGCUGCGGCCUAGAGCCCCACUGGGAUCACAACCAUGCCUUCUAAUAGACACCACUAACGCGGACUCAAAUACCAACACCAAGGUUGAAGCAAUCUCAAGAUAAUGAGCCGAACUUGUACAGUAACUGUAUAUUUUCUAGUUAAUUAAAUACAUACAUAUUUGAAUGAUAUAAACUUUAAAUCGAACUAGUCUUAUAACUUUGAAUGAACAAUAAUUAUAAAAAUGAUGUUGGUGGUGAUGAUGAUGAUAAUGAUGAUGAUGAUAAUAAUGAUGAUGAUGAAUUUGCUUUACUUUUUUAUGUUUACACACUUCAAUAAUUCUGUCUAACCAAGAUGCGCUGUUCAAGAGGCAAUAAAGUGUAGAGCCUUGUUUACCUAGGUUAGCAGGUUUAUCGAUAUUAUAAUGGAAAGGGAAACAACUACAACGGCGCAGAAGGAAAAAAAAUCAAUUCCGACAAGAGUUGUGGGUUCUCGUAUAUUUUGCGCUCAAUGUUGGUGAUGAAUUUCUUUGUAGUAUUUACAUUAUUUUGAUAUAUACGAGUGCACCAAUAAAGCUAUAAUGUUAAGUAAAUUCAAACGUUUGUUUAAUGUGAAAAAAGCUUAAGGACAACAUUGUCAUCAUACUGCUAUAUUUGUUGUUCAUUUUAUUUUAUUUCUUUAUUUUGUAACUAUAAUGCUUAAAACUAUAUUUAUUUAGAGUAAUAUUAUUAGACUUUUUACUCUAUAAAAGAAAAAAUGAAAUAGAUAUUUACUUAUUUAAGAAUAAGUAUUGGCAGCUAAAAUAACUCUCAAUAUAGAUUUAUUUUUUACAGCCAUUUGAAUUGUUCGUGUAUACCAGAAGUGACAUUCAAAGAUUCAGGAUACGUCAGCUUGUGAUGCUGGUUGUCUACACCACUUUCCAUUUUAAAUAUCUCUGUUUGUCUCCAUGUCAGUGUUUGUGCUGUGAAUGGGAGGACAAAAUGCAUAUAAAUGAAGAGGUUGCUAAUCAGCGAUUAGAAUUCCAUGCUGAAUGUAUAAAUGGUCUCGAGUGCAAGAUGUAUGAAAAUGCAAUGAAAAUUAAUAUUCAGAACCAUCAGUAUGUUUUAAACCUUGUUGAAACUCAUUUGAAAGCAUAGAGCAGUCUCAUACACAUGCUUAUUGCACGUACCUGUAAGGGAUAAAUGUGACAGCUAGUUACCAUGGUGAUACUGGGGAGGGUACUUUAACAGAAGUGAGACCAGACAGGUGCUCCUUUUCGCCAGUGUUGCCGAGGUUGUACAAAAGAAAUGUGACGUCAUCAUCAUAAAUCGCCGGCAUGCAGUUUGAUGGCUUCUACUUUUCAGAUUUUAUUUUCUUACUUAAUAUUCGUAAACUGCUUAACGAGACGUGUUAUAUCAUUGUAAUUUAUUUAUCUGCUAUCGUUAUAAAGAAACUGCUUGGUACUGUACUGUGGAUUUAUAUCAAACGGAUUUCAAUAACACCCGCAGUUAUUAAAAAGGGAGAAAAUCUUUCAUGGGACCACCCACGAGGUAGCAAAAUCCCCAAGGGAAAACAAAUCUAAUUGAGACGCCAGCAAUAAAAAGGUGUGUUGUUAUGUGCUGAUAACAUUAAAUUUACUAACACGACAUUUAUUUAAAAUACUGCAUAACAUACAUGCCAGCAGAUUCACCUGCUGUAUGCUUUGUAGUGUGUAUUAUGUUCAAAUAUUGUAUAAAUUAAGGUAUUAAUAUGAAAACAUUUCGUGCAUUUUGUUUUAAAACGUCUAUUUGUUACACAUGUAACUGUGGUAUUAUGCUUUAAUAAUGAAGCAUUGUUUGAUCUUUUUUGCGUUUUAAUUUGUUUUAAAAAUUGGAAAAAAUGUAAUAAUUUUAACCAUUUUUGUUGAGCUAUCGAUACAUGCAGUUAAAUAAUAUGUAUUGUUGAUAAAAGGAUAUACACCUAAAUAGUUUUAAUAUACUGACAAUGUCUUAUAAAUCUGUUUAAGCAAAUAAUUUAUUUGCUUGUUUUGUUUGGUAUUUAAAGUAACGUCCACACAGUUUAUAAACAAAGGGAUUUCCCAGGCAAUACCCUCUACCCUGCCAUAAUGUCAAAGAUGGUUAUGCCCUUUAGUAGAUCUAUUCAGUUUAUGAAAGCCACACGAUGGCUCCCUCAUUUCAAAGAUUUCUUCAUCCCAAGUAUUGUGUAUCAGGGUUUCGAACACAGUGGUUCGGGAAAGGUAUAUUUAAAGUCAUCGAUCUUGAACGUUUCGGACUAGAAGCUGCUAAUAAAAAAUACGUUAAUUUAAAUACAUAACAUUUAGUCAAAAAUAAGCGCGAAAUGCACAAUGAAAGAAUAGACAAUGCUUAGAUAGUUCAGACGCAGCCAUGGCCUCAUGGAUAAGCACCUGCCCAGCAACCGAGAGGUCGAAGGUCAAGUCCUGACAGACGCGGUCUUAUUUCUGAAGAGAAACCGGUUGGGGAACAGCUAGUUAAUUAAAUGAUGGUUACCGAUUUCCUACCUGCCAGGCUCUUGAAUGUAAAAAUACACUCAAAAAUGUUAAAACGCUACAUAAAACUUAAAGAAAGUGUUUUAGUAUAAAGGUAUAGGUCUUGUUUAGUAUAGUGUCACCCCUAUUGAAAGGGCCAGCUAAUUUAACCACUCUGCCACGGUGUAUUUUUAUCAAAUGUGUUAAAUGAAUGCGGUUGUCAAACUUGUUUUGUGCUACAUAAAGUGUGACUACCACUCAUAAAACUCUAAUUAGGAUUAUUUUCUUUCGGAUAUACAAAUAUUCGAUUGUCGCAAAGAAAUAUGAAAUAUCCGUAAUCUUGUGAUAUCGUUAAAUAAUAAGCAUGUUGGUCAGGAUUUGUUCAGGAUUUCCAAUUAUAAACGUUAGAGUUGAUUGUUACGUUGCAAAACGCUCUGUACAUGACGUUGACGUAAUUGAAAACGUUGAUAUUGAUGUAACAACAGCUGUCUUAAAUCUCAAUCUGCCCAUAACUUGUUCGUAUGGCUGAAAUGGACUUUAAGUGUUUUUGUAUUUGCUACCUGGUGAAAUGCAGUAUAAACUAUUAUUACUUUGAAGUACGAGUAAGAUUGCAAAGCUUCUACUGUGGGAUCGUAUCAGCUGUUUAACUGUUGAGUCUAUAAUAAGAUAUGAUGUUUAUUUUGAUUAUAUGAAAUCUCGUCAGGUUGUUAUUUUAUUUCUCCAUUUUAUGUAUGGCUACACUGGUUGGAUACUGUGCUGCCUCAUAAUGUGUGAUUUAUGUUAGUGGACUUCUUCAUAUCCAGUUCCAGCCUCUUUCAGCAUUUUCGGAAUGCCAUACGCGCAUUCACCAAAUUAGGUCCGAAAAAUGCCGAAUUGCCUUUUUCUUCUCCUUAUUUUUUUAGAAAGUCAGUUGUGAUUAAAAAUGUGCAUAAACUACCGACAAUAAAUUUUUUGUGAAAGUAAGAACAAGUUAUAAAAAUAAAUUUAAAAUGGGAAAUAAUCCCAUUUUUAAACAAGAGAAAAUCUCCAGCAGGCGAACUAUCCCAAGGGAGAUCGCAAGUAUCCCAUUUGGUGGGAUUUUUUCAAAACGCUUAUUGUCAUAUUUAGAAUAGAAACAACACAAAAUUAAAGAGUAAGAAUACUUACCAUUGAUACAUUGAAUUUUAAAACUGUUAUUAACACCCGCAGUUCUUAAGAUGGGAGAAAACCUCCCAUAGGACCACUCACGGCAAAAUCCCAAUGGGAAAUAAAAAAUCUCCCAUGGGAGGACAGACUAUUAAAUCGUCAAAGAAAUUCAUUUUUUUUUGAUAUUUGUAAAAGGAAAAAGUGCAAUUCUUUAUUGUUACAUGUCAAAAUAAAUUAAAGAAAUGUCAAAAACAAAUUGAGACUAAGUUUUGAGAAAUUGUCGGGUUUGCAAGCUAAAUCCGGAGACAGUUUUUACGAGUGUACAUAAGUCAAGAGCCAUUAUAGUAUCGACUCACUGUUAAACCCAUUUUACUAGUUUAGACACCUGUGAAAAAAGAGUGUGUUGUUAUGUGCUCUCAGUUAUAACAUAAAUAUUACGAACAUAACAUUUUUUAAAGUACUGCAUAACAUAAUAGAUGGAAGAAGAUUCACCUGCUGUAUGCUUUGUAGCGCGUAUUAGAUUUAGAUAUUGUAUAAACUAAGGUAUUAAUUUGAAAACAUUUGGUGCAUUUUGGUUAGAUAUACAAGGUCUUUUUGUAAUAUAUGUACAUCUUUUAUUAUGCUUUAACAUUUGAACAUUUUUGAUCGUUUUUGUGUUUUAAUUUGUUUUCAUAAUAAUUAUUGCAAAUAUUGUUAUUAUAUAUUUUUUGUUUGUAACUGGACAAUUGGUCAGUCAAUGAAAACAUGAUUUUAUUACACUGACAAUGUCUAAUACUAGUAAUUUAAUA
This is a long non-coding RNA of Mercenaria mercenaria, 7291 nucleotides long. RefSeq lists it as uncharacterized. The transcript has 6 exons. The record is from RefSeq and is a predicted model, not a curated record. NCBI's taxonomy places the organism in Eukaryota, Metazoa, Mollusca, Bivalvia, Venerida, Veneridae.